Molecule: long non-coding RNA, 237 nt
Organism: Clarias gariepinus (North African catfish)
Lineage: Eukaryota; Metazoa; Chordata; Actinopteri; Siluriformes; Clariidae
Exons: 3
Source: RefSeq, a predicted model, not a curated record
CAGAGACAAGAAGGCUGUAAAGAUCUGAGAAUGGACAUGAAGCACCUGGAACAUUCCUUACAAAUCCUGCACCAACACCACUAAUGAAGAGAAGUUGAAUAGAGAUAAAACAGGAGGUGCCAGCAUUAUUGGAUGGCGGUGUAAGCUCUGCACAUUUGUCGUAUCAUCAAAAGGAAUUUCGAUCAUUACCGAGUAAAGCAUGGUACUGUUGGUCAUGGAUAUUUAGUGUCCUGUCUU